This is a long non-coding RNA of Diachasmimorpha longicaudata, 7709 nucleotides long. RefSeq lists it as uncharacterized. The record is from RefSeq and is a predicted model, not a curated record. NCBI's taxonomy places the organism in Eukaryota, Metazoa, Arthropoda, Insecta, Hymenoptera, Braconidae. The transcript has 5 exons.
AGUACUUCUCUGAAGUAAAUGAAUAUUUGAUAAAAACAAUUUUAGUUCUGAGAGUGGGCAUCAAAAAACUCAGUGGAAGCUCUCGGAAUUUGCUAGACUAAAUUACCUUACACCAAACAAUUUCUUGGGUCAGGAAUUCCCAGAAAACCGUUUCGUGCGUUGAACGUUAUUUUCCUUCCUUAGUUACAGUCAAGAAACGGACGACACGGGAUUUUAAACAUCGUCCGCAAAAAUACUGUCAAUAAAUUACAGAAUAAUAAUGGAGAAAACAUUAAAAAUUGAAGGCAUUGACUGUCAUUUGCGUACCAGAGCGCGACCCAUAAGGUGGCCAGAGACCUGGUGUUUUCGCACGGGUGAAAGUAACGUGAUUGCUUAUCUGGAUACCAACAAUGUGCAGAAAUACGGAAACUGCGGUGAGUCCUUCUGAAGGUCUCCAUUGAAUCCCGAAGUUUGCAUACUCCUAUCUCCACCGUAUGCACGAGGAAAAAGCUCCCGGACUCAAGAUUGAACUAACAACAGGACUACGACUCAGAAGACGAGGAUGAUCCAGUGAUAAUAUCCCCAGAUAUCAGCACAGGUCGAAUCGAAAUCAUCGAACUGGACCACUGGCAUUCACAGGUUCAAUCACACGAGGACCUGGCCGCUGAACAAACAUCCAACCUUUACUCCCAACGAGAGAGGCGGCCAAGAAACCUCUCAGGCUCGGAAGAGGAAUCACCUCGAAGUGGAGAACCCAGUUCAAAUCCUUCACGUGUGUAAACAUCGAGCCGUCAUCUUCAAAUGUAGAAAAUAUUUUCUUUUCAUGAUUACAAUAGACGGCACCGAAGAUGAGAUAAAUCCAAAAAAGAUCUUGGAAAUCGUUCGGAAGCUCACCAUCAAUUUAUUGAUCCCAAAGACAAUAUAUCCCACCCAUUUAAGGGGUUAUUCUCAUGUGAGCACUUCAAAAAAUCGAUUUUUUUUUUUUUUGAUAUUUUGACAGUAAAACCUAUUGAAAACAUGCUGUGAAAAAUUCAGACCGAAAUCCAUAGUAUUUGAUAAGCUACAGCUCAUAGUCGCCGACGUGUCGUAAGCGAUUGUCUACCAGGCUUUCAACUUUAAACGCGUUUUUCUCGAAUCAUCAUUUUCUGAAACGGUCAAGGUCCUACAAGAAAAAGUAUUCAACCGAUUGCUUUAAAAUUUACAUAUGUUCUUCUACUCAUUUAUAGUUAUCGUCCCUACCACAAUUGUUUAUUUUUGACAAUAUCUUCAUAUUUUUUUUAAACGAUUUGUAACGAAAAAGAACGAGAUUUUCGUGAUUUUUUUUUGUUUUUAAUGAAAUUGAUUAUAUUUGGUAGGGACGAUAGCCACAGAUCUACUGAAUAAUAAUCCAUUCGAUUUUUUUAUGUCAGACAACAUGAACAGCCGCUAUCACCUUGACCAGUGAACUACCUUUUUUUGUUGGGGACUACUUUGACUUAAAAAAAAUAUAUAUUAAAAAUGUAAAAACCGAAAAAAAAAAUUUUUUUCGUAUAUUUCAAAAUACAAAUAAAAAUAUAUUGAAAAAUCAACAUGAUUGAAGUUUGUUGUCGCAUAAAAAAAAAUUCCGAAAAAGUGGUAAAAUAUAGGCGUUCACAUGAGAAUAACCCCUUAACGUCUGCUGACGUCUACUUCUGUAAAAUGCCUUAUCCCACCAAAGUUAUAUGAGAAUUAUUGUUUAUUGGAGUAUUUACCUAUAUUCUUACAAUUAUUUUUACUAAGAAUAACUAUUACCGAAAUGAGUUGAUGUGGAGCCUCCAGGAAGUCCUGACUCAGUUUACGUAAAUAUAAACAAUGGCUCGAUAGAAAGAAAGAACAGAGUUAUUUCAUUAGGCGAAGAAUAAACUUUUGGUCUUUGUGACCAGUCUUAAGUCUCCAAGAGAGUUUUUUCCUCGUGUCAAUUAUAAAAUAAAGAAAUUAUAAUAGUAAAUCCACUGCAUUUUAUAUUUAGCAUAAGAAUCACCAAUUCAUCAUCAUUCAGAAGUAUUAUCACCAUGAAUCCACUUUAAAAUUAAUUUAUCGAAUAAAUAUUUAUUGAGAGUGCUUGAUAUGUGUGGACAAAAGUGAAUCAUCUGUCUAUAGCUGUUUUCAGUCCAUCUCAGUAUGUUAUAGUUUUUAUAAUUUUUCUCCAAACAGCACCGAAAUGUGUAGAAUUGUUUCAAUAAAUAGAACCAGAGAAGAAGCAGAAACGAAUUAAUGAACAAGGGCCUUUUGUCAAAUGGGUCUAGAGUGUCAAAUGUUUGGUCACUAAGAGUCAGUUGAUCUGUCUGGAGACAUCAUACCAGAAAGAUAUACCUUCUGCGUGCGAUAAUAAUAAAUAAUUAAAGUUAAUAGUUAAAUCAUUUUUAUAUUAUUGAGACAAUCCCUAUGGAUAAUCCAAUAAUAUUAGUUUUCUAUCUAAUAAAAUUCUGGUACGGUUGUUGGAAUAUUUGAGUACAGUACUUUCGUUGUUCCACUAAAAUCACUCGACACCUCCUUUUGUUUCUCUGGGAAACAGCUCUCCUAAGGGACUAAUUUGUGAUCGGUUGUACUCCGCUUUCGAGACGGCUUAAUCCAAAACAUAUGCUGAAUGGUUAUUUGAGUCGUAAAAACUGUUUUCCUUUUUAUAUAUCUUUCAGUCUCUGGACAGCGGUCCUCUGGUUAAGACGUGCCUUCCUCGUGCAAAUAAAAUAAUAUUCAAAAGUAUUUCACUGUGCCUAAAUAAUUUAAUCAUUUACACCCAUAUUCCAAUAACGGCAAUCUCGUGGAUACAUCCGGACGACAAUUGAACGACAGAACCAGAAAAGCAUUAAACAUGUUUUUCCUCUCCGCAGGGAGGUGACGUUAACUACGCGCUGGUUAUAGUCAUGCACUUAAUUAAAAAAAUAAAAAUAACGAUCAAGGAUUGUGACUCGAGUUUGCGUGAGGAUUACCUUAACCGAAGUGACAUCACCACUUGACCAUCGCUGACAGCGUCAUGUCGUGCUCUGGGGAUCCAAAGGACAAUCCUCAAAUGACAUGAGAAGUGGUAUAAACAAGUCACGUUAACUUGGAGUCGAAUUGCCAUUCAAAACAAACCGGUGAUCGACAUUAUGCGACAGAAGUGAUGUGACCGAUACUUUAGGCGUUAUUAUUUUUUCCUUCAUUUCUACCAAUUCGAUUGAUAUUAUGCUUCUGAAUGGAGCCUCAGCCAUUCGAUUUCAAAAAUGAAAAGGUAGAUUCGCGAUGUGAGGUAGUUCUGGUACUGGCAUUCGCCAGAGGAUUUAGAAAGAUAUAUCCAAUCUAUUAGUAACAUGAACUUCAACAAAACAAUAAAUUUUGUAACAACCAGCCGACGAACUGCGUCCAUCCGACGUCUGUUUUUUCAUAUGAUAUUUUCAUAUCGUAAAAGCUAUGAUCAUAACAAAUUUUGAACUGCUAUUCCAAUUUUUCACCAAAUUAUUGAAUGGAGAACACUGAAAAUAUAAAAAAACGUAAAAAUGGGAAUAUCUCACGAUUUUUGUAUGAGAGCAAAUGCAUAUUUUCAUAACUUUGUAUGAUGCCCACUGAGACCAGUAAUUUGAAAAUAAAAAUUGAAAUCUGUUGAGUAGUUCAUGAAAUAUUCAAGGGAUUACAUCCAUGCAAAAGGAAGCGCCUGGAUGAUUGAGCCCAUCCAAAAUAACAGCAUUUUAUGUUUUGAAAUUGUGGUACUGGCAUUCACGAGGGAUUUAGAAUGAUAUAUUUAAUCUAUUAGUAACAUGAACUUCAGCAAAACAAUAAAUUUUGUAACAACCAGCCAACGGAUUGCGUCCAUCCGAGGUCUGAUUUUUUCAUAUCAUUUUUUCAUAUCGUAACAGCUAUGAUCAUAACAAAUUUUGAACUGCUAUUCCAAUUUUUCACCAAAUUAUUGAGUACAGAAUACUAAAAUUAUUUAAAAAACGAACAUUUCGAUUUGUAGCGACGGGUAUACAUGUUCUUAUAGCUUUGUAGGUCGCCCACUGAGACGAGUAUUUUGAUAAAAAAUUGAAAACAGUUGAGUGGUUCAUGGAACAUUCAAGGAAAUAUAUUCACACAAAAGGUAUAAUAUCUCUGGAAGCAUCUAGCCGAUUGCGUCCAUCCAAACUAGCAGCCUCCUCUGUUUUCAGAGCUACAAGUGUACAAAAUUUGUACUAUCUCUAUUUUUUGUUAGUUUAUGAUGUUUACAUCGUUAUGAAGAUAAAAACUAAAAAUGGCGUUGUCGCUAAAAUUUACCCGAAAAAAUAUUGAUAUUUUGGUCGGUAUAGAUAGGGCCCACUGAGAUGAGCAUUUUGACGAAAGAAUUGAAAUCCUGGCAGUAUUUUUUGAAAUAUUGAGGAACAAUUAAAUUGACAAAAGUUAAUAUAUCUCAGGAACUACUGGACCAAUCGAGCUGAAACGCCCCAUCAAAAUAGCGAUUAAUAAUGGCUAUAAGCUGAAAAUUCAGAUUUUUAGUUACAAAUUAGACCGUAUUUUGUCCCAAUUUUCUCAAAAUUAAUCUUCAAAAUGGUAUAUAUUUAUACCAUUUAUACCAGACUUGGUAUAAAAAUAUUGUUUUUUCGUGUUGUAUAACAUUCUCGAUAAUUUGAAAUUCUUGGGCCGUAUCAAGUAACAAAACGUAAAAUUUCCUUUCUUCAUGGAAAUUCGAAUUUUUCAGUGUUUCGUAAUAACUGGUUGUCUCACGGUAAUUAAAAAUGAGUAUUAAACAAAUAGAAUGAUUGUUUAAAAUAAUUGCUUUAAGAUUUUAUAGUCCGGGUUUGAAGAUAAAAGUGAUAAUUUCAACCGUAGGGUCCAUUAAAAAAAAUCCCCUUCUAAAAUCUUCCCCGACCUUUCACUCUACCAAUUUUUUCCCUGACAUUUCUUCCCGGUGCCAUUUCUUCCCUGUUCCGUUCCCCUGGCCCAGACAUUUAUUCCCUGACAUAUAACCUUGAAACGGCUUUAAACGUAAAUGAAGAAAAACUGCAGUCCAUAAUUAUGUUUAAUUAAAUCAGUCAGACCAAACCACAAUUUAAAUUACGAAUUUCACGUGGAAGACGAGUAAUUGAUAUGGUGUUCUACGUAUUGUGACGUCACAGAAAAUUAUUGAAGAGGAUUUAGAAUUAGGUAGAAAGGGAACCAGAAUUAAUCUGGAUAUAAUUUUGCAAGAAAAUUCUACUGAAAAAACCGCUUGUCAAGGCAGGAAAAAGUGUCAGGGGAACCAAUUAUCUCGCGGAAAAUUUGGGAAGGGAAAAAUGUCGGGGAAAAUAAGACGUGUUAUGGAAAUAUUGCAAUAAUAAAUCGAAAAUCAGUGAAAAAUUUGAAGUUGACAGGUUCAUUUCUCCUAAAAUAACAGCGCGUACAAGAUUUUUUUGUCAAAAACCAAAAAAUUGGAGUAUCUCGAAAACAUUGUAUGGAGACAUUUUGUGAUUGAUUGAGAUAGACGACAUGGAGACAAACUCUCCAGAAAAAUUUGAAUCGGCUGGAUAGUUUCGGAUAUAUUUUCGAAAAAGAAUUCAGAAAUAAACGUCGGGCCACGAGUGGAAAUCAUGUCAGGCGAACCUGAGGUUAGAUCAGAACUUGAUCUGGUGGUGCCCAGGUUCAACUGAUCAGGCGAGACUUGAUGAAGAACUGAUUAGUUUUUGAUUUACUCCAUCUGAUGGGAAUUACUCUGACCAGGUUCUGAUACGGCGAGCUUGAUCUGAACCCGAGGUCCGUUCACCUGUAAUCACCUUGAUCUAGUUCGGAUGUGAUGGGCCUGAUCUUAUACUGAAGUCCGUCUGCUUGCGAUUAUUCAGAUCAGAUUCUGAUCAGUUCAACUUGGGCGGAAAUCGAGCAUUGUGGUUACAAUUGUCAUCUGCUAGGCAGAGUACCGAGGAUAAAUGUCUAUGUACAAAAAAAAACGGGGAGAAACGCCUAGCGCGUGAACGGCGAGUGGUGCAUACGGGUUGACCGCUUGCUCGGGCCACACCGACUUAUCCGAGGAAAAGAGAAAAAAUGGGGAAUUUCUCUACUCAAUAAAUUCAGUUUCAGAAAAAACUCUCUUUGUCAAAAUUCCCCCGAAGAUGCCCAUCUCAUCUGUGCCUAGCUAAAGGUGUCAAUAAUGAAAAAAUGGUUAAAAGAUGGCAUGCACAUUACUAUGAACAUGUUGCGACGCAACACCCACCGUGCAGUAUAGUCCGAGCGUUCAUUCGAUCAAAUCCGUAUCUGUUUGACGGGAUUAACUUCUGAUCAAGUUCCGAUUAUCUAGCCUCAUCAAAUUCUGAUCAGUUGGGCCUGAUUAAAUUCACGUUUGGUCAUAUUUAUCAAGUUCGGAUCAGAUCCGAUUGAUCAAGUCCGUAACGAAUGAAGUCGUUAUAUGCCUGAUCAAGUUCUGAUCCAGUCCUCGGAUCAGUAACUGAUUAUACAUGAGGUCUGACUUGAUCCGAACUUGAUGCAGACCUGAGUUAAAUUUCCACUCGGAACAUUCCGUGAUUCUGUCUCAACCUAAACAACGAUAUAUCAACACUUUCAGGAGUAUUACAACGACUCUAGAUUCUGGUUAAUAAUUCAAUUUUUUCUUGUUGAAUUCAAGAAAUUCAAAAGUAGAGCCACACGCAAAUUCAUUGGAAACACAGGGUAAAAUAUUUAGGAUCUCUCGGACAAUAUGAUCAGCAUUUCGAGUAAGUUAGAUCAUAGUGUCAAUAAAUCACGUAAAUUUAAACACUUUAAACAUUAAAAAAUAAAAUUACAAUAAACGUUGAUUUUCCAAAAACAAAAUGGAAUCCACAGAAAGACCAAGCAGAGUCAUAUUGUUCAUUUACUAGCAGAAGCAACUAUACAGUAUUUAAAUAAUAAAAUUAAGGGGAGUCGUUCAGAGCAGUGCCCUAACCAAAUUAACUUCCCUAAUUACAGAUUAAAUAAUUUCUCGAUUUCGAUUCAAUCAAUGUUUCCGCCUGUUUGUACAUGUUAUCAUGCUCACAUGUCGGAAAUUACGUUUCAUGGAAAUUUAAAAAAAAUGUGUUGGCUGUAAUUAUAACAAGGAGGCGACAACAGUUAUGCGGCUGUAGAAGAAUUAUUGGAAUGUAUGAGUAUAUUUUCUUUGCUAUCAGUGAAUUGAUGGCGAACUUCAGAAUGGUUUUUACAAUAUGUUUCUUCCUUCUAAUUUAUAUCUAUUGAGAAUGUAUAAAAAUGUAAAUAGCAAAAUGAACAAAAACAUCUCAUUCUUUGAUUGACAAAUCUUAAUUUGUUUAUUUUAUUAUUUGUCCUAUUUUAUUCAAUCGAUUAUGAUGAAGUUUCAAUUAAUUAUGAUAGAAGACAUCAAGACUAAAAUUUUCAGAUAAAAAAACGAAUUCGUUCAGGUCAAUUGUGAGAUAUUCCACAUAUUCGUCACUCGAAAAAUUGAAUAUCGAUGAAACUAAUCGUUCCAUUAAGUUCAUUUGCAUUUCGUUGUGGUGAUGAAAGGAAGAUUUCGUCCGAAUUUUACGUUAAUAACUCGAUUUUUCCGGGGGUAGAAGGGCGAAAUGCAUUUUUUUUUUAAACCGAAAAAUGACAAUAACUAUGAGUUCUUCCGGGGUUCACUUUCUAUUUUUUGACAAAUUCCAGUAGAUUCCAUCAUGACGAUGAAGAUGAAAAAAGAAAAAACUGAAUAUCUUGCUUAGUUUUGUAGAUAUUUCCGAAAAACGAAUUACAAACAAAUCCCAAUUUUUCAUAAACGGUUUCACCGAUCGAGCUCAAUCUGGGCCCAAAGUUAGCCUCAACUCUUA